UCCUGGUUAACCCAGGCAGUCUCGUUAGAGUGCCCAACAUUACUUGAUGGCAACUAACGACAAGGGUUGCGCUCGUUGCGGGACUUAACCCAACACCUCACGGCACGAGCUGACGACAGCCAUGCAGCACCUGUUCAUAUGUCCCUUGCGGGAACACUUAAUCUCUUAAGCUGUCAUAUGUAUGUCAAGACCAGGUAAGGUUCUUCGCGUUGCAUCGAAUUAAACCACAUGCUCCACUGCUUGUGCGGGUCCCCGUCAAUUCUUUUGAGUUUCAGCCUUGCGACUGUACUUCCCAGGCGGUAUACUUAUCGCGUUAGCUACGGCACAGUCGGGGUUGAGUCCGACUACGCCAAGUAUACAUAGUUUAAGGCAAGGACUAC
Molecule: unclassified non-coding RNA, 380 nt
Filed under: uncultured Chlamydiales bacterium
Lineage: Bacteria; Pseudomonadati; Chlamydiota; Chlamydiia; Chlamydiales
Description: contains 16S-23S intergenic spacer region
Source: RNAcentral